RNAcentral lists this ribosomal RNA (456 nucleotides) under uncultured Latescibacterota bacterium. RNAcentral describes it as "bacterial SSU rRNA". It matches the Rfam family "Bacterial small subunit ribosomal RNA", at positions 925 to 1382 of the family's 1533-position model. The record is from RNAcentral. Lineage: Bacteria; Pseudomonadati; Candidatus Latescibacterota.
ACAAGCGGCGGAGCAUGCGGAUUAAUUCGAUGCAACGCGAAGAACCUUACCAAGGCUUGACAUACACCGGUAACGCCCAGAGAUGGGUGCCCCUUUGUGGUCGGUGGACAGGUGGUGCAUGGCUGUCGUCAGCUCGUGUCGUGAGAUGUUGGGUUAAGUCCCGCAACGAGCGCAACCCUUAUCCCUAGUUGCCAUCAGGUAAAGCUGGGAACUCUGGGGAGACUGCCGGUGAUAAACCGGAGGAAGGCGGGGAUGACGUCAAGUCCUCAUGGCCCUUACAUCCCGGGCUACACACGUGCUACAAUGGCAGGUACAGAGGGCUGCGAAGCCGCGAGGUGGAGCGAAUCCCAGAAAACCUGUCUCAGUCCGGAUUGAAGUCUGCAACUCGACUUCAUGAAGGCGGAAUCGCUAGUAACCGCGAAUCAGCAGGUCGCGGUGAAUACGUUCCCGGGCCUU